This 30-nucleotide non-coding RNA is filed under the name Rattus norvegicus (Norway rat). The record is from RNAcentral. Lineage: Eukaryota; Metazoa; Chordata; Mammalia; Rodentia; Muridae.
UAAGACUUCAAGUUUCAGUGGUUUGGUGAU